RNAcentral lists this non-coding RNA (194 nucleotides) under Phoenicopterus ruber ruber. Its description in RNAcentral is "Eukaryotic large subunit ribosomal RNA". It matches the Rfam family "Eukaryotic large subunit ribosomal RNA", at positions 1 to 189 of the family's 3401-position model. The record is from Rfam by way of RNAcentral. Lineage: Eukaryota; Metazoa; Chordata; Aves; Phoenicopteriformes; Phoenicopteridae.
CGACCUCAGAUCAGACGUGGCGACCUGCUGAAUUUAAGCAUAUUAGUCAGUGGAGGAAAAGAAACUAACGAGGAUUCCCUCAGUAACGGCGAGUGAAGAGGGAAGAGCCCAGCGCCGAAUCCCCGCCCCACGGUGGGGCACGGGACAUGUGGCGUACAGAAGCCCCCCUCCCCAGCGGCGCUCUCGGGGGACAC